This 517-nucleotide ribosomal RNA is filed under the name Clostridioides difficile. Its description in RNAcentral is "bacterial SSU rRNA". It matches the Rfam family "Bacterial small subunit ribosomal RNA", at positions 62 to 606 of the family's 1533-position model. Lineage: Bacteria; Bacillati; Bacillota; Clostridia; Peptostreptococcales; Peptostreptococcaceae. The record is from RNAcentral.
UUGAGCGAUUUACUUCGGUAAAGAGCGGCGGACGGGUGAGUAACGCGUGGGUAACCUACCCUGUACACACGGAUAACAUACCGAAAGGUAUGCUAAUACGGGAUAAUAUAUUUGAGAGGCAUCUCUUGAAUAUCAAAGGUGAGCCAGUACAGGAUGGACCCGCGUCUGAUUAGCUAGUUGGUAAGGUAACGGCUUACCAAGGCGACGAUCAGUAGCCGACCUGAGAGGGUGAUCGGCCACAUUGGAACUGAGACACGGUCCAAACUCCUACGGGAGGCAGCCGUGGGGAAUAUUGCACAAUGGGCGAAAGCCUGAUGCAGCAACGCCGCGUGAGUGAUGAAGGCCUUCGGGUCGUAAAACUCUGUCCUCAAGGAAGAUAAUGACGGUACUUGAGGAGGAAGCCCCGGCUAACUACGUGCCAGCAGCCGCGGUAAUACGUAGGGGGCUAGCGUUAUCCGGAUUUACUGGGCGUAAAGGGUGCGUAGGCGGUCUUUCAAGUCAGGAGUGAAAGGCUACG